CUCUCAUUAUGAAUCCCAUUAUAAAUUACUACUCAGAUGGUACCUAUCCCCCUCAAAAUUACACAAAUUCAAAUGAUCAAACAAAUGUUGGAGGCAUUGUGUCAAGUGAGAUCCUUAGGCCAUAUUUUUUGAACAUGCCCAAAUAUAAAACAAUUCUGGAAUUUGAUUCAUAAAAUAAUUAACACAAUUGCAGAUUCAAUUAUAAACUUAACCCAAGAAAUUUGUUUAUUCAAAAAAUAUCCCCCAAAUUUAUCCAAAAACAAAUCAAUUUGUAACAACCCCUAUAAGAUUGCCUGGGGACCUCAACCUUUCCUACCACCACCAACCUUGCCUGUUACCUAAGAACAAAGACUGUUCGUGCAAUUGCUUUUGUUUAAUGUAUAUUGUUUUUCACUGAAUGCCCGACCACCCAGAACAGAAGUGUGGCACUCAUUUACCUCCCUAACCCUAAAAUCACCAUGAAAACCGCGAACACUCCAUGUGUUUAAUUGUUAUACAGGGUGGUCGGCGUUAGUUUGCACGAACACGUGGCGGCGGCCAUUUUCUUUAG
Molecule: non-coding RNA, 550 nt
Organism: Pelobates cultripes (western spadefoot toad)
Lineage: Eukaryota; Metazoa; Chordata; Amphibia; Anura; Pelobatidae
Source: the annotation of a GenBank genome assembly